UGAGUACGAGCUGCUACGGCAGCGAAGUGGGUGACGUCAAGCUUCCAAGAAAAGCCCUAUACCCGUUAAGGCAUGAUGGCCUGUACCCGAAACCGACACAGGUGGGGUGGUAGAGAAUACCGAGGGGCGCGAGAUAACUCUCUCUAAGGAACUCGGCAAAAUGGCCCCGUAACUUCGGGAGAAGGGGUGCCACCGCAAGGUGGUCGCAGUGAAGAGGCCCAGGCGACUGUUUACCAAAAACACAGGUCUCCGCUAAGUCGCAAGACGAUGUAUGGGGGCUGACGCCUGCCCAGUGCCGGAAGGUUAAGGAAGCUGGUCAGCGUAAGCGAAGCUAGCGACUGAAGCCCCGGUGAACGGCGGCCGUAACGAUAACGGUCCUAAGGUAGCGAAAUUCCUUGUCGGGUAAGUUCCGACCCGCACGAAAGGCGUAACGAUCUGGGCGCUGUCUCGGAGAGAGGCUCGGCGAAAUAGAAUUGUCUGUGAAGAUGCGGACUACGUGCACCCGGACAGAAAGACCCUAUGAAGCUUUACUGUAGCUUGGUAUUGUGCUCGGGCUCGGAAUGCGCAGGAUAGGUGGGAGGCUAUGAACCAUUGCUUGUGGGUGAUGGUGAGCCACUGGUGAGAUACCACUCUUUCCGAGCUAGAGUUCUAACAGCCACCCGUUAUCCGGGGGCUGGACAGUAUCAGGUGGGCAGUUUGACUGGGGCGGUCGCCUCCUAAAAGGUAACGGAGGCGCGCAAAGGUUUGCUCAGGCUGGUUGGAAAUCAGCCGACGAGUGUAAAAGCAGAAGCAAGCUUGACUGUGAGACCUACAAGUCGAACAGGGAGGAAACUCGGCUUUAGUGAUCCGACGGUUCUGCGUGGAAGGGCCGUCGCUCAACGGAUAAAAGUUACUCUAAGGAUAACAGGCUGAUCUCCCCCAAGAGUUCACAUCGACGGGGAGGUUUGGCACCUCGAUGUCGGCUCAUCGCAACCUGGGGCUGAAGUCGGUCCCAAGGGUUGGGCUGUUCGCCCAUUAAAGCGGUACGCGAGCUGGGUUCAGAACGUCGUGAGACAGUUCGGUCCAUAUCCGGUGCAUGCGCAGGAAUAUUGAGAGGAUUUCUCCCUAGUACGAGAGGACCGGGAGGAACGCACCUCUGGUGUACCAGUUAUCGUGCCAACGGUAAACGCUGGGUAGCCAUGUGCGGAGAGGAUAACCGCUGAAAGCAUCUAAGUGGGAAGCCCACCUCAAGAUGAGUAUUCCCAUGGGUUAACCCAGUAAGGUCACGGGAAGAACACCCGUUGAUAGGCUCUACGUGGAAGCGCAGUAAUGUGUGAAGCGGAGGAGUACUAAUAGACC
Molecule: ribosomal RNA, 1338 nt
Filed under: metagenome
Description: bacterial LSU rRNA
Rfam family: Bacterial large subunit ribosomal RNA
Source: RNAcentral